Molecule: ribosomal RNA, 403 nt
Filed under: bacterium
Lineage: Bacteria
Description: partial 16S ribosomal RNA
Rfam family: Bacterial small subunit ribosomal RNA
Source: RNAcentral
UGGGGAAUAUUGCACAAUGGGGGAAACCCUGAUGCAGCGACGCCGCGUGAAUGAAGAAGGUAUUCGUAUCGUAAAGUUCUGUCCUAUGGGAAGAUAAUGACAGUACCAUAGAAGAAAGCUCCGGCUAAAUACGUGCCAGCAGCCGCGGUAAUACGUAUGGAGCGAGCGUUGUCCGGAAUUAUUGGGCGUAAAGGGUACGCAGGCGGUUUAAUAAGUCGAAUGUUAAAGAUCGGGGCUCAACCCCGCAAAGCAUUGGAAACUGAUAAACUUGAGUAGUGGAGAGGAAAGUGGAAUUCCUAGUGUAGUGGUGAAAUACGUAGAUAUUAGGAGGAAUACCAGUAGCGAAGGCGACUUUCUGGACACAAACUGACGCUGAGGUACGAAAGCGUGGGGAGCAAACAGG